RNAcentral lists this transfer RNA (64 nucleotides) under Bathynella cf. rufa JHS-2017. RNAcentral describes it as "tRNA-Leu". Lineage: Eukaryota; Metazoa; Arthropoda; Malacostraca; Bathynellacea; Bathynellidae. The record is from RNAcentral.
GUUAAAUUAGUAUUUAAUAUACUUUAAAUUUAAGCUUUAAAAAAGAAUGGUUAUUCAUUUAACA